GGGGCUGUAGCUCAGCUGGGAGAGCGCAUCGUUCGCAAUGAUGAGGUCAGGGGUUCGAUCCCCCUCGGCUCCACCA
Molecule: transfer RNA, 76 nt
Filed under: bacterium M00.F.Ca.ET.230.01.1.1
Lineage: Bacteria
Description: tRNA-Ala
Rfam family: tRNA
About the family: Transfer RNA (tRNA) molecules are approximately 80 nucleotides in length.
Source: RNAcentral